This 460-nucleotide ribosomal RNA is filed under the name uncultured bacterium. RNAcentral describes it as "partial 16S ribosomal RNA". It matches the Rfam family "Bacterial small subunit ribosomal RNA", at positions 338 to 795 of the family's 1533-position model. The record is from RNAcentral.
CCUACGGGAGGCAGCAGUGAGGAAUAUUGGUCAAUGGACGAGAGUCUGAACCAGCCAAGUAGCGUGAAGGAUGACUGCCCUAUGGGUUGUAAACUUCUUUUAUAUGGGAAUAAAAUGUUCCACGUGUGGGAUUUUGUAUGUACCAUAUGAAUAAGGAUCGGCUAACUCCGUGCCAGCAGCCGCGGUAAUACGGAGGAUCCGAGCGUUAUCCGGAUUUACUGGGUUUAACGGGAGCGUAGGUGGAUUGUUAAGUCAGUUGUGAAAGUCUGCGGCUCAACCGUAAAAUUGCAGUUGAAACUGGCAGUCUGGAGUACAUGAGAGGUGAGCGGAAUUCGAGGUGUAGCAGUGAAAUGCUUAGAUAUCACGAAGAACUUCGAUGGCGAAGGCAGUUCACUGGACUGCAACUGACACUGAGGCGCGAAAGUGUGGGUAGCAAACAGGAUUAGAUAACCGGGUAGUC